RNAcentral lists this transfer RNA (91 nucleotides) under Caudoviricetes sp. RNAcentral describes it as "tRNA-Ile". It matches the Rfam family "tRNA". Rfam says of the family: Transfer RNA (tRNA) molecules are approximately 80 nucleotides in length. Their secondary structure includes four short double-helical elements and three loops (D, anti-codon, and T loops). Further hydrogen bonds mediate the characteristic L-shaped molecular structure. tRNAs have two regions of fundamental functional importance: the anti-codon, which is responsible for specific mRNA codon recognition, and the 3' end, to which the tRNAs corresponding amino acid is attached (by aminoacyl-tRNA synthetases). tRNAs cope with the degeneracy of the genetic code in two manners: having more than one tRNA (with a specific anti-codon) for a particular amino acid; and 'wobble' base-pairing, i.e. permitting non-standard base-pairing at the 3rd anti-codon position. Lineage: Duplodnaviria; Heunggongvirae; Uroviricota; Caudoviricetes. The record is from RNAcentral.
GCAAGAUUAGUUUAAUGGUAAAACAGCAGACUUAUAAACUGUAUUAUCGCCAGAUUAGCGAAAAUUUUUGGUUCGAGUCCAAAAUCUUGCA